UUUUUGCUCCCCCCUCCCCAGCAAAGAAGAGGCCGUGCCGGUGUUUUUCCACUCAGCAGGAUGGGUGAUGCUCAAAGCUCCCUCAUUAGACAACAGACACGAGAGGUCAGGAAGAAAGCGCUUAUAAAUUACCGUUUCCUCCCGCUCGGCGCUGCUAGUCGCGCCGCACCGCUCCGCCGGACGCGCCGCACGGGCGCAGGGAAGAGAAAAACCAUUCAGAAGAGACUCUUCUUCAUGUAA
Tinamus guttatus (white-throated tinamou) is the source of this 240-nucleotide non-coding RNA. NCBI's taxonomy places the organism in Eukaryota, Metazoa, Chordata, Aves, Tinamiformes, Tinamidae. The record is from RefSeq and is a predicted model, not a curated record.